UAUCUGUAGGGGAGCUGUUGCUGAGAGUGCCCAUCCUGCUGGAUCUGCGAGAAACCGGAAUACCGGUUUGGUCUGCGGAACGAGGAUGGCUGACCCUUAGAACCUGAUCCGGGUAAUGCCGGCGAAGGGAUACAAAU
Molecule: non-coding RNA, 137 nt
Filed under: uncultured Eubacterium sp.
Lineage: Bacteria; Bacillati; Bacillota; Clostridia; Eubacteriales; Eubacteriaceae
Source: RNAcentral